RNAcentral lists this ribosomal RNA (472 nucleotides) under uncultured bacterium. RNAcentral's name for it is "partial 16S ribosomal RNA". It matches the Rfam family "Bacterial small subunit ribosomal RNA", at positions 28 to 507 of the family's 1533-position model. The record is from RNAcentral.
GACGAACGCUGGCGGCGUGCUUAACACAUGCAAGUCGAACGCUGAAGCUUGGUGCUUGCACUGGGUGGAUGAGUGGCGAACGGGUGAGUAAUACGUGAGUAACCUGCCCUUGACUCUGGGAUAAGCCUGGGAAACUGGGUCUAAUACUGGAUACGACAUGCCACUGCAUGGUGGUGUGUGGAAAGGAUUUUACUGGUUUUGGAUGGGCUCACGGCCUAUCAGCUUGUUGGUGGGGUAAUGGCCUACCAAGGCGACGACGGGUAGCCGGCCUGAGAGGGUGACCGGCCACACUGGGACUGAGACACGGCCCAGACUCCUACGGGAGGCAGCAGUGGGGAAUAUUGCACAAUGGGCGGAAGCCUGAUGCAGCGACGCCGCGUGAGGGAUGACGGCCUUCGGGUUGUAAACCUCUUUCAGCACGGAAGAAGCGAGAGUGACGGUACGUGCAGAAGAAGCGCCGGCUAACUACGUG